CUUGGUUCCAAAUCAAAGGAACACUGAUUUAAGAGGUCUCAAGUGAAGCCUGAAUAUCCUAAUUUCUAACUAGCUCUCCAGUGAUGCUGAUGCUACUGGUACAUGGACCGCCCUUGGGAGUACAUUUCCUCAGUAAAGACCUGAUGCCCUGGCAGGCUGAAGAACUGUAACCAGCCGGUCACUCUCUCGGACACCUGCACACCUCCACUUACCUGAGGAUUGUACGCUUAUCAAGUCAGUUGUGUCCACCGACAGACCACGUGUUGAAGACAGUUA
Molecule: long non-coding RNA, 276 nt
Organism: Suricata suricatta (meerkat)
Lineage: Eukaryota; Metazoa; Chordata; Mammalia; Carnivora; Herpestidae
Exons: 3
Source: RefSeq, a predicted model, not a curated record